This 247-nucleotide ribosomal RNA is filed under the name uncultured bacterium. RNAcentral's name for it is "partial 16S ribosomal RNA". It matches the Rfam family "Bacterial small subunit ribosomal RNA", at positions 88 to 334 of the family's 1533-position model. The record is from RNAcentral.
AUGGCGACCGGCGCACGGGUGAGUAACGCGUAUGCAACUUACCUAUCAGAGGGGGAGUACGCCGGCGAAGUCGGAUUAAUACCCCAUAAAACAGGGGUCCCGCAUGGGAAUAUUUGUUAAAGAUUCAUCGCUGAUAGAUAGGCAUGCGUUUCAUUAGGCAGUUGGCGGGGUAACGGCCCACCAAACCGACGAUGGAUAGGGGUUCUGAGAGGAAGGUCCCCCACAUUGGUACUGAGACACGGACCAA